Molecule: ribosomal RNA, 863 nt
Filed under: Pediococcus pentosaceus
Lineage: Bacteria; Bacillati; Bacillota; Bacilli; Lactobacillales; Lactobacillaceae
Description: bacterial SSU rRNA
Rfam family: Bacterial small subunit ribosomal RNA
Source: RNAcentral
CAGUCGAACGAACUUCCGUUAAUUGAUUAUGACGUGCUUGCACUGAAUGAGAUUUUAACACGAAGUGAGUGGCGGACGGGUGAGUAACACGUGGGUAACCUGCCCAGAAGCAGGGGAUAACACCUGGAAACAGAUGCUAAUACCGUAUAACAGAGAAAACCGCCUGGUUUUCUUUUAAAAGAUGGCUCUGCUAUCACUUCUGGAUGGACCCGCGGCGCAUUAGCUAGUUGGUGAGGUAACGGCUCACCAAGGCGAUGAUGCGUAGCCGACCUGAGAGGGUAAUCGGCCACAUUGGGACUGAGACACGGCCCAGACUCCUACGGGAGGCAGCAGUAGGGAAUCUUCCACAAUGGACGCAAGUCUGAUGGAGCAACGCCGCGUGAGUGAAGAAGGGUUUCGGCUCGUAAAGCUCUGUUGUUAAAGAAGAACGUGGGUGAGAGUAACUGUUCACCCAGUGACGGUAUUUAACCAGAAAGCCACGGCUAACUACGUGCCAGCAGCCGCGGUAAUACGUAGGUGGCAAGCGUUAUCCGGAUUUAUUGGGCGUAAAGCGAGCGCAGGCGGUCUUUUAAGUCUAAUGUGAAAGCCUUCGGCUCAACCGAAGAAGUGCAUUGGAAACUGGGAGACUUGAGUGCAGAAGAGGACAGUGGAACUCCAUGUGUAGCGGUGAAAUGCGUAGAUAUAUGGAAGAACACCAGUGGCGAAGGCGGCUGUCUGGUCUGUAACUGACGCUGAGGCUCGAAAGCAUGGGUAGCGAACAGGAUUAGAUACCCUGGUAGUCCAUGCCGUAAACGAUGAUUACUAAGUGUUGGAGGGUUUCCGCCCUUCAGUGCUGCAGCUAACGCAUUAAGUAAUCCGCCUGG